AAAAAAAAAAAAAAGAAAAAAAUCUAGUCAGCGUUCCAUCCAGAAAGAGGACAAACAAAAAGAAGAAAGGGUAAUUAACAGAUACAAAAUCAGAUAUGUUUCUGUUAAAUUUGCCAGAUUAAAGUAAUGUAUGCCACUGACACAUAUCAAUAUGGAGCAUCAAUCUGAAGCAAAAAGGAAAUUUCCUCCCUCCUAUAUCAGAUGAUAAACGGUCUAACUAGAAUGUCAAAACACAGUAUAAAUGGGACAUAUUUUCAGAUUUCAAUUUUUAACUUCUCAGAUUCAAUAAUGGGUAAAAGAAUUGAGCAACCUUUGUGAGGAAAAGCCUCUCUGCACGCUGCUGAAGAGUACCGCCACUCUUUAGUCCUAAUGCAACCAAUGCCUCCUUUAAUUUGUCAGGGCCCACUUCCAUAAGUUCCUCAACUGUGCUGUAAUAAUCAAGAUCGAUAACAGUAUGCUGAGGUGGAAGUUGCCCACUUUCUUUAACAUCCUUCUCCCAUCCUUGUACAUUGUCAUUUUCCCAUUGCUCUUCAAAUUCGGCUGUAACCUUAGAGAAUAUCCUAUCAAGAUCUUGCAGGGGCUCUGUCCGUUGAAAAAAGUAAAUUAAAUGCUCGAGUAGAUUCUCCAUAUAUUCCCUAUAUUGCCUUGUUAACUUCAGUUUUCGAGGGAUACUAUGUGGUUGUGAAAAAACAUCAAGGUAAGCAGAGUAUUCAAUAGGCUCCCCGAAUUUUGAAUUAAUAAACUGGUUGUACAACUCAUGCAUGUCCAAAUAUUUCCCAAAUGCUUCCUCCCCAGUGAACUCAAUUACGGGUUCCUCUUUAAGCAGUGCCUCAUGCUCCUCGUUGGCAUCAACAACGCGUGCUGCUGGAUGCCUUCUAUGGUACUCACGAAUCUCUUUCAGCCUAUCAUAAAACGCACUAAACACGUUUGUCCCUGUUGCUGUUUGGCCCCCAAGAGCUGCAAUCUCGUCCUUCCUUGCACUAUCCUUAUCUUCAUAAAUCUCCACGAGUUUGUGCGUAGUAGACAUGAUGGUUUCGAUCAUGUUACGAACUCGGUGGCUCUGAAAGAGCCGGUCCUUGUUCGUCGCGGGCUCAUUCUGGAGAUCCUUCACUAUGAUCCGCUCGAGCCGUUCCACUUCCUCAUGAGCUGCGCGAGUCACCUCCAAAAGCGUCGACGACAUCUUGGUUGCCGCCGCCUCCGCCUUUCUCUUUUUCAGCAAUCGCUUCUAAUGGCCGUUCUACGGUAAAUUCAGGUAGGGUAGGGUUUCUCUGUCACAAGCUUGUAAACGUAGCUUUGCGAGAAGCGGUCUCAAAUAUCAAUUUUGAGGGACAAUGUAUAGGGAUAACACGACAUCGUUUCAAAUAAACCGGUAAAAAAAAUGAAAAGAAAAAAUAAAUAAAUGAUGAAAACCCAAUUAAAAAAUUAUUUAAAAAAGGGAGAAUAUUAAUUAUUUUAAUUAGUAUAAUAUAAUUACCUGCAAUGAGAACAAGAAUGCUGGUAUCAAACCUAAAAUUCCUGAUAGAAGCAAUGGCUUUCAAGAAGAUGGGAGGGAUUCCAAUGGCCACAGAUCCCAGAGCAAGCCAAUGAAGAGGAUGAUAAACAUACUUCAACAAAGAUAGCAAAAGCAAAACACCACUACCCACAGCAAAUGGACUUGGCCAUUUCUUCUGGUAACUGGUGUUUCCAUUCACUCUAAUAUUUGCUUCUAGUCGUGCUUGAUUCAGGGCCUUUACAAUUUGAAGCUGAGAGAUGAGAAGAUUAUCAUGGACAACUACAACUGUUCUUGUUGGGACGAUAAUUGAGAAUUCUUUAACACCAUCAAGAGACUUGAGGAUAUUCUCAAUCAAAGGAACUUCAGAGGAGCAGCAAAGUCCUAACACAUCAAAGUAGCUUUUCUGAAACUUUUUCUUGCUGCUGAUGAUGUUUGCUGCCGUUCUUUUGUCCUGGGCAGCCAUUUUCUUUUCCUCUUAAUCUCUGCAACCAAAGCAAAGAAAUUUGAUCAUCAAUAUCUCAGCAAACAGCUCAUUCUGAGAAAGAUAAGAGAGAGGAGCACACAUGGAAAACAUGCCAAAAAGGAAGGAAAGAAAGAAAGGAAGUAAAAGUAAAAGAAAAUCAAGAAAGAGUUAAAUGAGGGAAAGCUAGCAAGAACAUGCAAAAUACAUUGCACAUAUAUAGAAUAGAGCCCAAAAGAGAGUUGGAGAAGCAAACUACAUUCUAACAAUAGGGAGAGCUUAAUUUCCAACUUCUUUCUGAAGUUUUGCUUUUGAAGUAGAUUGUGGAGGAAUGGUGGCUAAAUAGGAAGCUAUAUACAAGUAGGGGGUAGGCUGGAAUGACAUGCAGCCCAAAAGAAUCUAAAAAAUUCAAGAAAUCAAGAUAUAAUUUUUUUUUUUUUUAAAUAAAGAAAAGGAGGGGAAGAAAAAUAACUAUAAAAGAAAAUAUCAAGUAGCAUAAUAACAAGUCAAGACUCAAACCAAUAUAGAACAAUUAGCAAUUCAAGGCUAUCCAAUAUUCUAAGUUAAGGCCAAUGUCAGAUUUAAACAAUAUCUCCAUAUUUCUUUGCCUUCUGGUUUUGUUUUUCCAUGAAGACCUUAAUAUGUAUCAUUAGAUGUUGGACCUGGAUUCCCGAACUCUAGUAGGAAAUACACAUAGUCGUGUGUGUGCACGUACAUUUAUAGAAAGAAAUAAAACCUUUUAUACCUGGUCCUAACUCAUUAAAUACAAAUAACAUAAUAAAUCUAAAGACCUAACUUCAAGAGUAUGGAAGCUAUUCUAAUAAAAAAAAAGUCUUUAACAACCAAACUGCCAAAGCAAUUUUUCGGGGAAAAUGUUAGCUUCCCUUGAAAAGCAGUCAACUAAUUCAUUAAUUCUCCAAAUUUUAGGAAUGUUUAAAUAAAAUGAAUUUUCAUUAUGAUACACAUAAUUCCAAUAUUUUCUCCAAUUAUGUGCAGUAGUUGUUUCUUAUACUAUGAAAAGCAUCAACUGACAAAACACGCAAGAAAUUAAGAUCAAAUAAUCUUUUGGGAAUCCUCUU
RNAcentral lists this unclassified non-coding RNA (3031 nucleotides) under Hevea brasiliensis (rubber tree). The record is from RNAcentral. Lineage: Eukaryota; Viridiplantae; Streptophyta; Magnoliopsida; Malpighiales; Euphorbiaceae.